AUCACAGGGUUAGGAUGGCUCUUCCUAUCUAGGUGGAAACACCCGAGGCACUGCUCAUCCAUCAUUCAGUUCAUACUCUAUACAUCUAAACAGCCAUUCUCUUGUUCUCCCUAUUCCAGCUCUGUUUGAGAGUCACUUAUGAAACAAAGGGGUGAGAACAUUUGAACUCUUCAAACCGUUGUGAAAUCUGUCUGCUGAGCUCUGUUCACUAUGGUCUGAUGCUGGCACGCCAAGGGCUUAUGAUCCGUGGAUAACUGUUUAUCUAUAAAACAUCAAAAAACUCAUCUUGGAGGAAUUUAGUAAACAAUGAGCAACAGCGUCCUUGGGAAUGAACAAGGAAGUAAGCACAUAAAACAGUGGACAACAAAGAUCUUCUGGAUUAUGCACUUCUGCUUCAUGAUCCUCAGAACAGGAGCUUAAUUCUAGUUCCCUAGCUGCUGAGGCUUUCUGUUGGAUUUUGGGAGAAGAAGUGAACUAUUUAGGUGUUUGGAGACUGCUGAAUGAGUGCAUGCCUGAAGAACUCAAAAUGUGCAGAAUGAGUGUCAUAUGCAUGCUAAGCUGUUCCUGUGUUUCUGGAUAGAAACAGCUAAACGGCUGUCAAGAAUACAUUCUUUUUUCUCCAGAGGAUUUUGCCAUUUUCCUCCUGAGAGAGCUUUUGUUUUGCAUGAACUGGAAUCCUUUUUGGGAAAAGCUACCAGAGCUUCACUGCAGAGGGAAUCAUGUGCAGUACUGGGAAUUGAGUUUCAAGAGGCUGGCAGACUGUGGAUAUUUCUAAAUCCAGUGAAUUAGACACUGCAUUUCUCAGAACACUUCCAGACUUUGACUGCAGUUACCUGAGAAGUAAAAACCUGUAUGUAUAGCAGGUGAUGGACACCAUGACAGUUAAAAG
RNAcentral lists this long non-coding RNA (889 nucleotides) under Gallus gallus (chicken). RNAcentral describes it as "lncRNA (ENSGALG00010005147.1)". Lineage: Eukaryota; Metazoa; Chordata; Aves; Galliformes; Phasianidae. The record is from RNAcentral.